GCUGGGCAUGGUGGCACAUGCCUGUAAUCCCAGUGUCUGGGGAGGCUGAGGCAGAAGGAUUACGAGUUCAAAUCUAGCCUCAGCAACUUAGGCACUAAGAAACUAUGAGACCUUGUCUCUA
This 121-nucleotide small RNA is filed under the name Marmota monax (woodchuck). Lineage: Eukaryota; Metazoa; Chordata; Mammalia; Rodentia; Sciuridae. The record is from RNAcentral.